AGUGACCUUCUCGACUUGUCGGCUCCGUCGGCGGCUCGGCUCGGCUCCUAGGUUUUCAACCCUUCCUGAGCCAUUCCCACCCUUGUUCCGGCCAUCUGGGAGUAGUUAGGCGUUGGAGUUAGCAUAUCGCGAGUGACUUCGGUCAAGGUCAGGGAGGUCUAAGGCUCCCAUGUACGGUUGACGGCGGAUGCAACGAAGACCAUGGAAAUCAUAGGGAGGGCUUGUAGAGCAAUAGAUUCUGUUUGAGAUCGUUCGAAAAAUAAUUGUUGCAUUCGUUUAUCCUAAUUAGUUGUUGAUUGAUUUCCAUGUUAGGUUGAUCCUUAGUGCUAUGAACUAUUGAUAAUAAUGAACGUGUCAUUGAUC
Molecule: long non-coding RNA, 363 nt
Organism: Cucurbita maxima (winter squash)
Lineage: Eukaryota; Viridiplantae; Streptophyta; Magnoliopsida; Cucurbitales; Cucurbitaceae
Exons: 3
Source: RefSeq, a predicted model, not a curated record